GACGAACGCUGGCGGCGUGCCUAAUACAUGCAAGUAGAACGCUGAAGAGAGGAGCUUGCUCUUCUUGGAUGAGUUGCGAACGGGUGAGUAACGCGUAGGUAACCUGCCUGGUAGCGGGGGAUAACUAUUGGAAACGAUAGCUAAUACCGCAUAAAAUGGAUUAUCGCAUGAUAAUCCAUUGAAAGGUGCAAAUGCAUCACUACCAGAUGGACCUGCGUUGUAUUAGCUAGUUGGUGGGGUAACGGCUCACCAAGGCGACGGUACAUAGUCGACCUGGGAGGGUGAUCGGCCACACUGGGAAUGGGACAAGGCCCAGACUCCCUCGGGAGGCAGCCGUAGGGAAUCUUCGGCAAUGGACGGAAGUCUGAACGAGCAACGCCGGGGGAGUGAAGAAGGUUUUCGGAUCGUAAAGCUCUGUUGUAAGGGAAGAACGAGUGUGAGAGUGGAAAGUUCACGCUGUGACGGUAUCUUACCAGAAAGGGACGGCUAACUACGUG
RNAcentral lists this ribosomal RNA (497 nucleotides) under uncultured bacterium. RNAcentral describes it as "partial 16S ribosomal RNA". It matches the Rfam family "Bacterial small subunit ribosomal RNA", at positions 28 to 507 of the family's 1533-position model. The record is from RNAcentral.